This 69-nucleotide transfer RNA is filed under the name Rhina ancylostomus. Its description in RNAcentral is "tRNA-Trp". It matches the Rfam family "tRNA". From Rfam's summary of the family: Transfer RNA (tRNA) molecules are approximately 80 nucleotides in length. Their secondary structure includes four short double-helical elements and three loops (D, anti-codon, and T loops). Further hydrogen bonds mediate the characteristic L-shaped molecular structure. tRNAs have two regions of fundamental functional importance: the anti-codon, which is responsible for specific mRNA codon recognition, and the 3' end, to which the tRNAs corresponding amino acid is attached (by aminoacyl-tRNA synthetases). tRNAs cope with the degeneracy of the genetic code in two manners: having more than one tRNA (with a specific anti-codon) for a particular amino acid; and 'wobble' base-pairing, i.e. permitting non-standard base-pairing at the 3rd anti-codon position. The record is from RNAcentral. Lineage: Eukaryota; Metazoa; Chordata; Chondrichthyes; Rhinopristiformes; Rhinidae.
AGAAAUUUAGGCUAACCAGACCAAAAGCCUUCAAAGCUUUAAGUAGGAGUGAAAACCCCCUAAUUUCUG